RNAcentral lists this ribosomal RNA (450 nucleotides) under uncultured bacterium. RNAcentral describes it as "partial 16S ribosomal RNA". It matches the Rfam family "Bacterial small subunit ribosomal RNA", at positions 354 to 796 of the family's 1533-position model. The record is from RNAcentral.
GUGGGGAAUCUUCCGCAAUGGGCGAAAGCCUGACGGAGCAACACCGCGUGAACGAGGAAGGUCUUCGGAUCGUAAAGUUCUGUUGCAGGGGACGAACGGCACUAUAGCCAAUAAGUAUAGUGAAUGACGGUACCCUGUUAGAAAGCCACGGCUAACUACGUGCCAGCAGCCGCGGUAAUACGUAGGCGGCAAGCGUUGUCCGGAAUCAUUGGGCGUAAUGGGAGCGCAGGCGGAACAUUAAGCGGAUCUUAAAAGUGCGGGGCUCAACCCCGUGAUGGGGUCCGAACUGAGGUUCUUGAGUGCAGGAGAAGAAAGCGGAAUACCCAGUGUAGCGGUGAAAUGCGUAGAUAUUGGGAAGAACACCAGUGGCGAAGGCGGCUUUCUGGACUGUAACUGACGCUGAGGCUCGAAAGCCAGGGUAGCGAACGGGAUUAGAAACCCGGGUAGUCC